This 1079-nucleotide long non-coding RNA is filed under the name Capsicum annuum. RNAcentral's name for it is "long non-coding RNA (CANN_LNC010732)". The record is from RNAcentral. Lineage: Eukaryota; Viridiplantae; Streptophyta; Magnoliopsida; Solanales; Solanaceae.
CAAACUCAAGCAACAAUUUUUCUCUCUUUAUCUUCUCAAAAGAAUAUGAAAAAGUGCCUGAAUUUUUCUUCUCCUUUGUGAAAAUCGUUUGAAGUGUUAUGAAACUUGUGUCUCUUGGCAAGUUGAAAACCUGAAACUUCGAAGAGUGAAGUUAAGUCAUCCCAAAGGUAUGUUCUAACUGCUUUUCUUUUUCUUUUCAAAUGUAUUUGAAAUAAAGUACAACUCAGAGCAUAAAAGGUAUAAGUGUUCAUGCACAAAUUUGAGCAAUACAAAGUUGAUUAGGCUACCCAAAUCAACAAACUUUUGUAUUGAUUCAAAGUGUUCAAAGAACACAUUUCUCAUUAAGUUUUGAAAUUCAAGCAUUUUGGUGAAAGAUAAAAGCCUUAAUUGAAUGUAAAGGAAAUUGUUCCCACAUUUUCAAGAUUGAUUACAUUAAAAUGGGUGAAGUAUCUUGUUGAAAAUCAAGAGUUAGGGUUAACAAGUUAGAAAUUGGACAAGAAGUUUAAAAUUCCAGCAUAUGAAUUGAAAAGGUUGAGUUUAUGAAAAUCCAUUGUGAUGGCGAAGAGGUUGAUAAGUCAUCAAUAAAAUUAAAAAAAAAAGGUUGUGAAUUAUGAUGUAAUCUGAUGACCUGGCUGAUAAGCCAUCACUUAAGUGGUGACUUAUCAGAACAAUUUAUCACCUGAAAUAAAAAUGUGUUGCAUUGUGUUUUGGGUUAACGACUUGGAUGAUAAGCCAUCACUUAAGUGAUGACUUAUCAGAUAAGACAUCACUUGUUACCAUGAAAUGUGUUCAUUCAUAUUACGUGGCUGAUAAGUCUUCACUUAAGUGACGACUUAUCAGACCGAGUCAUCACACACAUGCUUAGCCAUUUUGAUAAAACCUUUUCAAGAGAGAUACUAAUAAUGAAUAACUCUUUUAUGCUUAUUAAUUCUUGUGUAUUAAAUGAUUCUUUUCCCUUGAUGAAGAUAUAACCAUGCCACCUAAAGGGAAGACAAAGAAAUUAACCAAGAAGGUUACAAAAAAGAACUUGACCCGGAGACUCUUCAAUGAGUUUGAAAGUGAGCAAGAAUAGCCAUAGC